This 625-nucleotide ribosomal RNA is filed under the name Salmonella enterica. RNAcentral's name for it is "partial 23S ribosomal RNA". It matches the Rfam family "Bacterial large subunit ribosomal RNA", at positions 2259 to 2878 of the family's 2925-position model. The record is from RNAcentral. Lineage: Bacteria; Pseudomonadati; Pseudomonadota; Gammaproteobacteria; Enterobacterales; Enterobacteriaceae. RNAcentral also lists the same sequence under 2 other names.
UGGUGGGUAGUUUGACUGGGGCGGUCUCCUCCUAAAGAGUAACGGAGGAGCACGAAGGUUGGCUAAUCCUGGUCGGACAUCAGGAGGUUAGUGCAAUGGCAUAAGCCAGCUUGACUGCGAGCGUGACGGCGCGAGCAGGUGCGAAAGCAGGUCAUAGUGAUCCGGUGGUUCUGAAUGGAAGGGCCAUCGCUCAACGGAUAAAAGGUACUCCGGGGAUAACAGGCUGAUACCGCCCAAGAGUUCAUAUCGACGGCGGUGUUUGGCACCUCGAUGUCGGCUCAUCACAUCCUGGGGCUGAAGUAGGUCCCAAGGGUAUGGCUGUUCGCCAUUUAAAGUGGUACGCGAGCUGGGUUUAGAACGUCGUGAGACAGUUCGGUCCCUAUCUGCCGUGGGCGCUGGAGAACUGAGGGGGGCUGCUCCUAGUACGAGAGGACCGGAGUGGACGCAUCACUGGUGUUCGGGUUGUCAUGCCAAUGGCACUGCCCGGUAGCUAAAUGCGGAAGAGAUAAGUGCUGAAAGCAUCUAAGCACGAAACUUGCCCCGAGAUGAGUUCUCCCUGAGACUUAGAGUCUCCUGAAGGAACGUUGAAGACGACGACGUUGAUAGGCCGGGUGUGUAAGCGCAG